CGUAGUGGGGAACAGGAAGUUCCGGGUCGAAACGACAGAACUGUGUUGUUUUGUCGAUAGUGGUUGUGUCCAUUUCAAAUGUAUCAUUGUAGACCGACUCAGAUUAAGUCUGAGGCCGGUAACAUCAACAGUGAGGACAAUCCCAGCCUGCCACUCUCCUUCCACACUGUGUCCAAACCUACAGUCACUGGGUCCUGAUUGUGACAGUGGAGCCCAGUUUGCACUGCAGGAUCCAGAGAUGGCAUCAGUGAAGCUGGAAGACUGCAGUCAAACACUGGAGCUGAAUGUCAACAUUAAAGAUGAAGAAGAGGAAGAGAAGAUUAGGACAACUGUUAGUCAUGGAGACCAUGUUGAGACAUUCUCUACAUCCAGAGAGCAUCAGCAGGAAGAUCAGAGAGCUAAGAGGUCUCAUCACUGCCCACAUUGUGAAGACAUUUUCCCAUUUCAAUCAAAGCUAAAAAUGCACCUAAAAAUACACACAGGAGAGAAGCCUUAUUCCUGCUCUGACUGUGGAAAAUGUUUAAAACAUCAA
Oncorhynchus masou masou (cherry salmon) is the source of this 532-nucleotide long non-coding RNA. RefSeq lists it as uncharacterized. Lineage: Eukaryota; Metazoa; Chordata; Actinopteri; Salmoniformes; Salmonidae. The record is from RefSeq and is a predicted model, not a curated record. The transcript has 3 exons.